GGAUGCGAUCAUACCAGCACUAAAGCACCGGAUCCCAUCAGAACUCCGAAGUUAAGCUUGCUUGGGCGAGAGUAGUACUAGGAUGGGUGACUUCCUGGGAAGUCCUCGUGUUGCAUUCC
Molecule: ribosomal RNA, 119 nt
Filed under: Aegilops tauschii subsp. strangulata
Lineage: Eukaryota; Viridiplantae; Streptophyta; Magnoliopsida; Poales; Poaceae
Source: RNAcentral